CACAGGCUGGAAAGUCUGAUUGAAGUACCACAAAGUUGAUUGACAUACCACUUAUUUCCUGUAAGGAGGCUCAAAGUUCACCACUAGCAGGACAGCUAAAGCGACGGCAGACAGUCAUCACAUCAGCUGAGUAAUGACUGCAGCCUGUGAAACAGGUCUGAGGGGCGCAGAAGUUCUGACAGCUUCAGCAGAUGCAACAACUUCGUUCCAGCUCAAAAGUCGUUAAAAUAAUUCCUAAAUGCUGAAACUCAGAAGAAAAGACGAGGCCAAAGGUCCCCCCUUCACUGGGGCCUUAGGUACCCAAGGAUCUUUGCUAGGUGCCUGGAAGGCCUUUGGAAUCAUCCAGUAACAAGUCAGAUAGGAAGAAAAGUGUAUUUUGUUCUUCUCCCACUGGCUAUUUAGGUUAAGCAGUUUAUUUUCUUCGGUAAAUCUCGUUGGCCAAAUGUCUCUCUGAUGCACCAUCACGAGCAGGUCGGCUUCAGCGUAACUGGCGGUUUCUCCACCGGGUGGCAGUGAAAGCCCGAGUUACCGAGGGGAUGGUCCCAGUGAUUGAGCUGCUCUUCUGCGGCUCUUGUGGAGUCUGUUGUUCAGCCUGGAGAGCCUUCUCACUGCACAUCCCAGGUAAUCAGACAGCGCUUUAUCAGUAGUGACAAACCUCGUUCCUUUAUGUUAGGAAGCGAUAAUGUGUUAACUGAUUUGCUAUCCAUACCUUUAACAAACUGCAAGGAAAUAAUUUCUUACCCUAAGAAUGCCUUCUGAACAGAGCUGGAGAUGUGCCACCCACAGCCAGAAUAUGUCUCUGCUUCCGUCUUGUGGGCAUUGUGACA
This 827-nucleotide long non-coding RNA is filed under the name Calidris pygmaea (Spoon-billed sandpiper). RNAcentral's name for it is "lncRNA (ENSCPGG00000010389.1)". The record is from RNAcentral. Lineage: Eukaryota; Metazoa; Chordata; Aves; Charadriiformes; Scolopacidae.